RNAcentral lists this ribosomal RNA (413 nucleotides) under uncultured bacterium. Its description in RNAcentral is "bacterial SSU rRNA". It matches the Rfam family "Bacterial small subunit ribosomal RNA", at positions 94 to 518 of the family's 1533-position model. The record is from RNAcentral.
AGUGGCGGACGGGUGAGUAACGCGUGGGUAACCUGCCUCAUACAGGGGGAUAACAGUUAGAAAUAGACUGCUAACACCGCAUAAUAUAGCGAAACCGCAUGAUUUUUGCUAAUCAAAUAUUUAUAGGUAUGAGAUGGGCCCGCGUCUGAUUUAGGCUAGUUGGUGGGGUAAAAGCCUACCAAGGCGACGAUCAGUAGCCGGCUUGAGAGAGUGACCGGCCACAUUGGGACUGAGACACGGCCCAAACUCCUACGGGAGGCAGCAGUGGGGAAUAUUGGACAAUGGGGGAAACCCUGAUCCAGCGAACCGCCGCGUGAGUGAAGAAGUAUUUCGGUAUGUAAAGCUCUAUCAGCAGGGAAGAUAAUGACAGUACCUGACUAAGAAGCCCCGGCUAACUACGUGCCAGCCGCUGC